Molecule: ribosomal RNA, 482 nt
Filed under: Staphylococcus pseudintermedius
Lineage: Bacteria; Bacillati; Bacillota; Bacilli; Caryophanales; Staphylococcaceae
Description: partial 23S ribosomal RNA
Rfam family: Bacterial large subunit ribosomal RNA
Source: RNAcentral
CGAAAACGAAUUCUCUCUUGAGUGGAUCCUGAGUACGACGGAGCACGUGAAAUUCCGUCGGAAUCUGGGAGGACCAUCUCCUAAGGCUAAAUACUCUCUAGUGACCGAUAGUGAACCAGUACCGUGAGGGAAAGGUGAAAAGUACCCCGGAAGGGGAGUGAAAGAGAACUUGAAACCGUGUGCUUACAAGUAGUCAGAGCCCGUUAAUGGGUGAUGGCGUGCCUUUUGUAGAAUGAACCGGCGAGUUACGAUCUGAUGCAAGGUUAAGCAGAAAAUGUGGAGCCGUAGCGAAAGCGAGUCUGAAUAGGGCGAAUGAGUAUUUGGUCGUAGACCCGAAACCAGGUGAUCUACCCUUGGUCAGGUUGAAGUUCAGGUAACACUGAAUGGAGGACCGAACCGACUUACGUUGAAAAGUGAGCGGAUGAACUGAGGGUAGCGGAGAAAUUCCAAUCGAACUUGGAGAUAGCUGGUUCUCUCCGAAA